Molecule: non-coding RNA, 90 nt
Organism: Leuconostoc lactis
Lineage: Bacteria; Bacillati; Bacillota; Bacilli; Lactobacillales; Lactobacillaceae
Source: Rfam
UUUAACAAUCUGGGGUGCCAUUUGGCUGAGAAACACCCAUUGAACCUGAUCUGGUUAGUACCAGCGAAGGGAGCAUUGCGCUUUAGUGUG